GGUGCUUGCACCGGGUGGAUGAGUGGCGAACGGGUGAGUAACACGUGAGUAACCUGCCCCCGAUUUCGGGAUAAGCCCGGGAAACUGGGUCUAAUACCGGAUAUGACCAGAGGACGCAUGUUCUGUGGUGGAAAGUUUUUCGAUCGGGGAUGGGCUCGCGGCCUAUCAGCUUGUUGGUGGGGUAAUGGCCUACCAAGGCGACGACGGGUAGCCGGCCUGAGAGGGCGACCGGCCACACUGGGACUGAGACACGGCCCAGACUCCUACGGGAGGCAGCAGUGGGGAAUAUUGCACAAUGGGGGAAACCCUGAUGCAGCGACGCAGCGUGCGGGAUGACGGCCUUCGGGUUGUAAACCGCUUUCAGCAGGGAAGAAGCGAAAGUGACGGUACCUGCAGAAGAAGUACCGGCUAACUACGUGCCAGCAGCCGCGGUAAUACGUAGGGUACGAGCGUUGUCCGGAAUUAUUGGGCGUAAAGAGCUCGUAGGUGGUUGGUCACGUCUGCUGUGGAAACGCAACGCUUAACGUUGCGCGGGCAGUGGGUACGGGCUGACUAGAGUGCAGUAGGGGAGUCUGGAAUUCCUGGUGUAGCGGUGAAAUGCGCAGAUAUCAGGAGGAACACCGGUGGCGAAGGCGGGACUCUGGGCUGUAACUGACACUGAGGAGCGAAAGCAUGGGGAGCGAACAGGAUUAGAUACCCUGGUAGUCCAUGCCGUAAACGUUGGGCACUAGGUGUGGGGGACAUUCCAC
Molecule: ribosomal RNA, 749 nt
Filed under: Brevibacterium aureum
Lineage: Bacteria; Bacillati; Actinomycetota; Actinomycetes; Micrococcales; Brevibacteriaceae
Description: bacterial SSU rRNA
Rfam family: Bacterial small subunit ribosomal RNA
Source: RNAcentral